RNAcentral lists this transfer RNA (76 nucleotides) under Acidiferrobacter sp. RNAcentral describes it as "tRNA-Phe". It matches the Rfam family "tRNA". From Rfam's summary of the family: Transfer RNA (tRNA) molecules are approximately 80 nucleotides in length. Their secondary structure includes four short double-helical elements and three loops (D, anti-codon, and T loops). RNAcentral also lists the same sequence under 4 other names. The record is from RNAcentral. Lineage: Bacteria; Pseudomonadati; Pseudomonadota; Gammaproteobacteria; Acidiferrobacterales; Acidiferrobacteraceae.
GGCCAGGUAGCUCAGUUGGUAGAGCAGUGGACUGAAAAUCCUCGUGUCGGCAGUUCGAUUCUGUCCCUGGCCACCA